GCGGGGAUUCCCAAGCCAGGUCAAAGGGGUAGGACUGAGGCUCCUAUGGCGUAGGCCUUCGUGGGUUCAAAUCCCACUCCCCGCACCA
This 88-nucleotide transfer RNA is filed under the name Nitrososphaerota archaeon. Its description in RNAcentral is "tRNA-Leu". It matches the Rfam family "tRNA". Rfam says of the family: Transfer RNA (tRNA) molecules are approximately 80 nucleotides in length. The record is from RNAcentral. Lineage: Archaea; Thermoproteati; Nitrososphaerota. RNAcentral also lists the same sequence under 4 other names.